UGAGGAAUAUUGGUCAAUGGGCGAGAGCCUGAACCAGCCAAGCCGCGUGAAGGAAGAAGGUUCUAUGGAUUGUAAACUUCUUUUACCGGGGGAUAGAGUGGGCCUCGAGCAGGCUCAUGGAAGGUACCCGGAGAAUAAGCAUCGGCUAACUCCGUGCCAGCAGCCGCGGUAAUACGGAGGAUGCAGGCGUUAUCCGGAUUUAUUGGGUUUAAAGGGUGCGUAGGUUGCGGAUUAAGUGAGCGGUGAAAUGUUGUGGCUCAACCAUAAGAUUGCCGUUCAUACUGGUUCGCUUGAGGACAGAUGAGGCAGGCGGAAUGCGUGGUGUAGCGGUGAAAUGCAUAGAUAUCACGCAGAACUCCGAUUGCGAAGGCAGCUUGCCAAGCUGUGACUGACACUGAAG
RNAcentral lists this ribosomal RNA (400 nucleotides) under uncultured bacterium. Its description in RNAcentral is "bacterial SSU rRNA". It matches the Rfam family "Bacterial small subunit ribosomal RNA", at positions 355 to 751 of the family's 1533-position model. The record is from RNAcentral.